UACGAAGGGGGCUAGCGUUGCUCGGAAUCACUGGGCGUAAAGCGCACGUAGGCGGAUAUUUAAGUCGGUGGUGAAAUCCUGGAGCUCAACUCCAGAACUGCCUCCGAUACUGAAUGUCUUCGAGUCCGGGAGAGGUGAGUGGAACUGCGAGUGUAGAGGUGAAAUUCGUAGAUAUUCGGAAGAACACCAGUGGCGAAGGCGGCUCACUGGCCCGGUACUGACGCUGAGGUGCGAAAGCGUGGGGAGCAAACAGG
Molecule: ribosomal RNA, 254 nt
Filed under: uncultured bacterium
Lineage: Bacteria
Description: partial 16S ribosomal RNA
Rfam family: Bacterial small subunit ribosomal RNA
Source: RNAcentral